UAUAGAGCUACCUUGGGCUUUAGAAAUGAUGUUGUCUAACUCCCUAAUCUUAGAGAUGGGGAAACUGAGACCCAAAGUGACUUGCUCAAUGUUAUAUAGCUAGCAUUUACAUACAUGAAUGUACACAUACAUGUACACAUAUAUAAAUAUCUAUAAUCUUAUAUAUUUAAAUGCUGGCUAUAAUUAUAUAGGUAGUAAGUAGCAGACAAUGCUACUUGGACAAUGGAAGAAGGGAGGAAAUUGACUACUACCUUGCCUCUGAUCUUUCCUUUAGUGCCCCAGACCAUGGAACUAAAGGCUGAAGUGAUGGAGACCAUUAUAAAUUUAAUUAAGGAGAACUCCAAAUCAUUUUCAAUUCAUACGUCACUGACCAUUGAUGAUGACGACUGGCUGAAUGAUCUUAUCAAAGCGAUGUUGAAGAAGAUCCAAAGCCUCAAGUGGUCACAACAGGGGAAGGAGAAGUCCUUCUUAUACAGACUCAUUGGCUAUACCCUGAGGGGCUCUGAAGACCAUAGCUUCGUGUCUUUGAUGUUGGCUGAUAUACUAAAUGGUGCUCAAGAGGAAGAGCUGGAAAGAGAUCUGAGGCCCCAGGCUCCAGGAAGGAGGCACAUGUUAGAAAAAGUUAGAGUAUUAGAGCAUAGAAUUUUUGAGCAAGGGCUUCAGACUCUCCAGUCAGGAGUCUUCUUUCAAAAAAAAAUACUUAUUGGUAUCUUUUAUUUUUACAAUCAGCUUCAUUUCCAAGUAUAUUCCUCCCCCUCCUCUAUCCUUUCCGGUGAACCAUGCCUUGUACAAAGAAUAAAUAAGAAACAUAAAGCAGUUCAGCAAAACUAA
RNAcentral lists this long non-coding RNA (831 nucleotides) under Phascolarctos cinereus (koala). Its description in RNAcentral is "lncRNA (ENSPCIG00000032564.1)". Lineage: Eukaryota; Metazoa; Chordata; Mammalia; Diprotodontia; Phascolarctidae. The record is from RNAcentral.